Molecule: ribosomal RNA, 464 nt
Filed under: uncultured bacterium
Lineage: Bacteria
Description: bacterial SSU rRNA
Rfam family: Bacterial small subunit ribosomal RNA
Source: RNAcentral
CAGAACGAACGCUGGCGGCAGGCUUAACACAUGCAAGUUGAGCGGGAUUGGUAGUAGCUCGCUAUUAACCAUGAGAGCAGCGCACUGGUGAGUAACACGUGGGAACAUACCUUUUGGUGGGGGACAACAGUUGGAAACGACUGCUAAUACCGCAUAAGCCCUGAGGGGGAAAGAUUUAUUGCCGAAAGAUUGGCCCGCGGAAGAUUAGGUAGUAGGUGGGGUAAUGGCCUACCUAGCCAACGAUCUAUAGCUGGUCUGAGAGGACGAUCAGCCACAUUGGAACUGAGACACGGUCCAGACUCCUACGGGAGGCAGCAGUGAGGAAUAUUGGGCAAUGGAGGGAACUCUGACCCAGCCAUGCCGCGUGAGUGAAGAAGGUUUUCGGAUUGUAAAGCUCUUUCGGACGGGAAGAUGAUGACGGUACCGUCUAAAGAAGCACCGGCUAACUUCGUGCCAGCCGCCGC